This is a long non-coding RNA of Vitis riparia (riverbank grape), 6830 nucleotides long. RefSeq lists it as uncharacterized. The record is from RefSeq and is a predicted model, not a curated record. The transcript is spliced from 13 exons. NCBI's taxonomy places the organism in Eukaryota, Viridiplantae, Streptophyta, Magnoliopsida, Vitales, Vitaceae.
GUUUCUCACUGUCUCCUCUCUCCUACCGAGGAGAAAACGGAAGCAAAAGCAGAGCCGAAAGCUCAGACGCAUUUCUGGCCGUACGAUCCAUGCUUCCCGGUGUAAUCCACGGCUGACAUUUCACGAUGCAGCUCCUCAUCGUCGCCGGCUGAGAUCUUGAUCCCUCAUUCUCCAGGUGAUUGAGAUAUAUUAAAAUGCGGUCACAUCCUGGAAAAUUUAUCGAAAGGCAAACAAGGAAGAAAAUGACUUAACUGGUUCAAGUUUUCCCAGAUACCUGGAUGCUCUUCAGGUUAGAUGCAGCAUGCCAAUUGUUUCAUGGGCUGUAGCCUGUUUUGCCAACUAGGCAACUGCUGUUUUAUGGAUUAUGUGCCUGUUUCUAUCCAAUGUGUUGAUGGUCAUAAAGAUGAGGCAGGCUUUCAGGAUGGUCAUUCUCAUAGAUGCUCAUCACUGCUGUCCCAGUUGCUAACCAGGUGGGAACUCACUUGAUGUUCUUUGGAGGAGAGUAAGGAUUGGGCACCCAAGUAAUGGGGACCUGCGAAGUAUAGUGAAAGCAUGGUAUCCAGAAUUGAAGCCUCUUGCUGGAAAGAAACCUUUGAUAGGGUUAACUACAUCCCUCUGUACCAACUUGGGGGAUUUCAGUCCGGAAUCAUCCAUCCUUCAGUUCUCUCAGCAAGUUCUCGUUGAGGGAUCUCCUUAAAUGGUGCAAGAGAAUAGCAGCUUUAGGUUUUCACUUCCUUGGGGAUGGUUUGUCAGCUGAUGCCUGUAAAUGCAUUUUUCUAGAGGCUGUAGUUAUUUUUGUUGCUUUCUCUGCUUCAGCUGAAAACCGGCUAACUGUAAUGAGAGAACUUGCUAAGAUGUGGGCUGUAUCAGACUCAGUUGCAGAGGCCUUUUAUCCUCCCAAUAAACCCGUAAUUCAGGAUUUGGGAACAGAUUUAACAAUUGGAUGAGUAACACUCCUGUGCAAUCGAAGAGUAGUAAUUGCAAGCAAUUGGCAUUGUUUUAAUCCAGUACCAGGAAGACCACACUUGUGCAGAAUUUGGUCAUGAGGAUUGAUCAGAAACUUACUGUUUUGAAUUUGAGUCAGCAAAGUGAUGUGGCAGAUUUGUUAGGGGGAUUUAAGCCUAUGGAUGCACAGUUUGUUUGCAUCCCUGUUUAUAAAGAGUUUGAAAAUCUGUUCUCUUAACACGUUUUCUGUGAAGGUAAUGUUUGAAGGUCUUUGUCUGCCUGCUUCUUGUCCACUGUUGAUCAACUUCAUGAAUGAUUGCAUUUUUUUGACCCGGAUUUUGGGGAUAACAGGGAGUUUCUUGCCCAUUUACAGCAUCAUCUAAGUGAUAAGAAUUGGAAAUGUUAAUGACUGGAUUUAAAAAAGGUGUUGACUUUUUUCAGAAGUCGGCUGAGAUAUGAAAGCUUGGUUUUGGUAAAAAGCAGAAGAAAGCUUUGGAUGAAACAGUACUCAAAGCAUAGGAGGAUUUUUCUGUUAAACUUGAUACAUCUCGUGGGCAAAUUGGUGCCUCAUCUGGAAUGCUAUUUCAAUUUGUGGAAGGGGCUUUUGUGACUGCACUUUGAAAUGGUGACUGGAUUUUGCUUGAUGAGGUGAAUUUGGCUCCCCCAAAGACAUUGCAAAGAGUUAUUGGUGUUCUUGAAGAUGUGAAUGGGUCACUUUGGUUAGCUGAAAGAGGGGUUUCCAGUUAUAUACCUAGGCUUCCUAAUUCUCGUUAAUAUGCUUGUAUGAAUCCUGCAAGUGAUGAUGGGAAGAGGGACUUGCCAUUCUCUUUAAGAAGUAGAUUUACAGAGUACUUUGUUUAUGAUGUGUUGGAUGAUAAAGAUUUGACUCUAUUUAUUACUCAAUCUUUAGAUGACAGUUGUUCGAGUGGAGACUUGGUAGAUGAAAUAGUGUCUUUCUAUAAAGCAGCCAAGGAUUUGGAAGAGAGGCUGCAGGAUGGGGCUAAUCAGAAGCCCCAGUACAGUUUAAGGUCUUUUUAUCAUGCAAUAGAAUAUACUAACAAAUCAAACAGAUAAUUUGGAUUUUAGAAAGCAAUUUAUGGUGGAUUUUCUAUGUUUUUUCUCGCUUUGUUAGAUGUGCCGAGUGCUAUGUUAAUGGACCAAAUGAUUUUGUCCAAAUUAUUAGGAGGAAAGAUACCUCCACAAAUACCUUUUUGAUGAAUACUUGAUGGUUAGGGGUAGCACAAGCUCUGGUGAUUUCUUGGAGAACUAUAUUUUAACUAAAAGUGUGAGGAAGCAUCUCAGGAACCUGGCUCGUGCUGUUUUGAUUAAACAAUAUGCUGUUCUCUUACAGGGUCCCACCUCCAGUGGAAAGACGAGUCUUGUGCAGUAUCUUGCUGCAAUAACCAGCCAUGAAUUUGUAUGGAUCAGUAAUCAUGAACACACGGACGUUCAAGAAUACUUAGGUUCCUAUGUGACUGAUGCUAGUGGGAAGCUGGUCUUUCAUGAAGGUGUAUUGGUUAAGGCUGUCCGGAAUGGAUAUUGGAUAGUUCUGGAUAAGCUUAACUUGGGCCCAUCUGAUGUGCUGGAAGCCUUGAACCAAUUGUUGGACGACAACAGAGAGCUUUUUGUGCCUGAGUUACGAGAAACAAUACCAGCACAACUAGAUUUUAUGCCUUUUGCUACUCUAAAUCCCCCCAGUCUCUAUGGAGGACAUGAAAUGCUUUCUCGAGCAUUUUGUAACCGUUUUGUGGAGAGUCCUGUUGAUGAGAUCCCACAAGACGAGUCUAGCACGAUAUUAAACAAGCGGUGUAAAAUCCCUGAAGGUUAUGUGAAGAAAAUGGUUGAAGUUAUGAAGGAGUUGGAGUUGCAUCAGCAGAGUAGCAAAGCGUUUGCUGGAAAACAUGGAUUCAUAACUCUCAAGAGACUUAUUUUGGCGGGCUGAUCGUUUCAGGACAUUUGGGAAUUCAUAUGAAGAUUUGGCCAGAGAUGGUAUUAUCUUUUGGCAGAAACACUCAAAGAUGAGGGUGAGAAAAAGGUUGUUCAAGCAGUUUUAGCUAAACAUCUCCGGGUUAAACUAGUCAAAGAUAAUGUGGACCAUCAGGUGUGGUUCUUCUCCCUCCCUCCUCUCCCUUCCUCUCUCAUGUGGGCAUUUUGUUGCAUGCGUGCUUGCAUUGUAUAUGAGGUCAUGAUCUACAUAUUAAUUUAUAUUUCUUUGCCUUUUGUGUUUCUGUACUUUCAGCCAUCUUUGCCUUUUGUGUUUCUAUACUUUCAGUUAUGUUUACCUUCUGUGUUUCUAUACUUUCAAUUAUGUUUACCUUUGGUGUUUCAAGAACAAGCAGUCGCUUGUCCUCUCAGAGAAAGAUAUAAAAAUCCAACAUAUACAUAUAUCCUCAAGUGGGAAUUGUCCCUACAAGAGCCUCAGGGAUAAUACUUUCUAUUGGUUAGCUUAUCUGUCAAUUGUGUUGCUAAUUGUGAUAGUGUUCACCAUACCCUUGGAAAGGUCCAUAGUUCUUCUGAUAUUGAGGUCAUAAUGCCAAGCUCCUCUGUUUUUGGAGGAGACCCAAGAGAUGACAACCAAGAAAUUCCCUCUAUUUUAAGAUUCAUGAUUGCCAUAAGAGAUGGCUCAGUAGCUAAUCCAUUAAGGGGUCACAUUGUAUUGCUUGAUAGAUGGAAUCUUCUCACCUUCCAAAUUCUUUCUUUAACUAUGAAUGGAAAGGAAUCUUCCAAAUUGCCAAGGAUCUAGAUUUCCAUAAUUCAUUCCUAAACUUGACUUGUUGCAGUAUGAUUCAAUAGAACUCCUUGUGGUCCUUAUAAUCCGUUUGAUGCCCAUCUGACCCAAUCUUAAUACUCUGCUAUAAGUAUUAUUUUAUUUUGUUUAAAGUGGGGAGGCGGAAACUUUAUACUUGUUCAGGGCAAAUAGCUGGAGCAAUUGUGUUUUGCAUUGGUGCUUUUACUUCUUUGCUUAAUUGUGCUCUCAUAUUUUGUUUUGUGUGAGAUACAUGUUGAUUGGAGUUCGCUAUUUGUUAUUGCAUCCAAAUUGUUGGAAGAGGAAUUUAUUGAGGAAGGAAUGUUGGGAUAUGGAAGACUAUCUUCAACCAUUUUAAGCAGCUAGCUAGGGAAAAUCAUUUGUAAGUUCUAUACAGCAUGCUGAAGAGCAUUAAUUGUGAGUUGUAAACCCCAAAUUGUUUGGUGAUUCCUUGACGUAAAACUUUCUCCCUUGUAUUAAAAUCCUUGCCUUUUUUUACUCGACUAUUAAUUGAUAGUUAAGAUUUAUCCCUUUGACUAUACUUGUAUUCUUAAGAAAAAUUUCUUUUGGUUGCCUGAUUCGAACAAUUUCCUGAAUAUCCUGAAGUGGCUUUUUAUUUUUAUGGUUUAUUUAUUUUUGCAAUCCAGAAACUUGGUGAAGAAGACAUUGUUUUCAGUUUGGGCAAACACAUAGGGGCUUCUGAAAGUCUUGGAGAGUAUGACCUCUUUAAGGCCACAUCAUUUUUUUGUACUGCCUGCUUGUGCUUUUCUUAAAAAAUAUCAUUACCAAUUAUUUGGUUAUUGUAGUAUUAUCUAGACAAAAAGUAUGCAGAGGUUGUACUUUCUUGUUGAGUGUUGCUACAGAUUGUGUGAACCCAUCCUUCUUGUUGGUGAAAUUGGUGGUGGAAAGACUACCAUUUGUCAAUUAUUGAGUGUUGUUUUGGGGUUAAAAUUACACAUUUUGAUUUACCACCAAUACACAGAAACGUCUGAUAUUCUUAGGGUCUCCUUCUAUUUUCCAUGACUGUAAUCUCUCUGUUGCAGGGUUUUGCAAGUUGUAAGCCCUUAUUAAAAGUUCAAUCACUUUGUUAAUAUUAAAUGGUAAAUAUAAGAUAGAUUCUAUCCUAUUCAAGAGAGAUCAAGAUUGAUUUCGGAAUUCAAGUUUCUAAUUGAACAAUUGAUGGUGUUGUAAGGCUUUUUGUUGACUUUCCCGAUGAUAUUGUAUGUAUUUCUUUUUCUUUGUUCCCCGUGUACUUGUUGAGGUUUGUUCUACUCGCAAUUGAGUAUGUAUACUUUCUCAUGCAUUUCGUUGGCUGUAGUCAAUUUCUUUAGAUAUAUGUCAUGCUUCUCAGACUCUCUUGAUCAAGUAUUGUAAAUAGCUACCAACAAGGUGUUGUCGCAUGGGCUGAUGUCACUACACAAGAUCUUGAUUCUUUUGUGCGAAUGAAGUUGGACCGAGCUUAGCUGCAUUAGAAAUGGCAGACUGUUUUUAUGUGGCAAGAUGGACCUCUUGUACAAGCAAUGAAGGAUGGUGAUCUGUUUCUUGUUGAUAAAAUCUCCUUGGCUGAUGAUAGCGUACUUGAACAAUCGAACAAUGUGUUGGAGCCAGAAAGGAAACUGGCCUUGGCUGAGGAAGGAGGGGACCCGUCUCUGGAGAAAAUAAUUGCUCAUCCAAAUUAAUUCAGUUUUCUAGAAAAAUGUGUCAUUAUUUUUAUCAUGGGUGGAUAGCACUUAUACAUAGUUGAGUUAAAAUUUAAUAUUUGAUUUAAUCCUUUUUCCAUGGAGUUUUGCAAACAUUUUAUGCAGGUUUCUGGCUAAUAUACCAAAAAGAAAAUUUUGGUUCGUCUUAAGAUGGGUUUUUUUUUACGUGUCAAGAUAGAAUCGGGAUAAGUAGGAGGUUGAAGAAAACUUUUCAUUGUCACUUUUUCCGAUAGUUGAUAUCGGAGUAGUAGGUUGUUGAUGGGCUUAGCUGCUUUUGCAUAGUAUUCAUGUGUGGGUAUUGGGCGGGCUUGGGCAGAGUGGAGUGCAUGUGUCUCCUUAUGCAGUCUAGCUGGAGGUGAGAAUAUUCUCAUCUUUUAACAACACUAAUGCAAAUUAGCAAUAACCUCUACUUUUUCAUAUAUAAGCAUGUUCCCACUAUUCAAUUUUGAAAUUCGUCUCCUCUAAAAAGGUGAAAUCAAGAAACCGAAUAGUAUCUAUUCUCUGAGUGCUCUCUCGAACUUCCAUGGCCCGUUCAUUUUUCUGCCUAAUUUCGAAACCCUAGAAGAUGAAAGCCAUGAUGGAUGUCUCUUCGCUCAAAAGUCGAUAAAUAUCUCAUCUUCAUUCCUUUGAACUUGAAGAAUUCAUCGAAGACUAUUGGGAAGCUGUUGCUGAUUUAUUAAAGUGUUCCCGUCAUGGAUUUAGGCAACAUCAGUUGUAGGAAGAAACAACCUAUACACUCUUCGAAUUGGAAACCACAGAAGGGUUGGAUACUCAACUCCAUGGGACCAAAUGAAAAUUACUUAUUUUUCGUUGUAAAUCAAGUUGGGUAGUUGGUUGGAUUUUUAAGUUGAUUUUGCAUGUUUAUAUUUGUAGGCUUAAUUUACGUCUCCUGUACACUAUGGUUAAGAACAUAAUACUAUUGAAAUAUUCAAAAACAAAAUAUGCUCUUUGUGAUAUAAUUGGGACAUGUGCUACCAAAAGAUGCUCUUUAUGGUAUAAUUGGGACAAAAGAUGCUCUACAUGAUGCAAUCAUGUGUUGAUGAUUGUUUGGUCGGUUCUCCUAUCAUAGACUGGGAGGACCAACCGUAAAGAUUAUGUGAAGAGCAAAGUUGGGGUUAAAAAUAUCAGACGUUGCUUUCUUGUGGAGGCAGAUGGAUUCGCAAAGUUGAUUUCGACCAAUGCAUCUUUUUCUACAGGAAUUUUCUUAGGACCAAUCCACUUAUGAAGCUGUGGAGAAUGUGUUUGUUACCAUAUAUAUAUAUAUAUAUCAGGAAAAGAUUGUUUUCUUUAAUUAUCCUAAAUAUUCAUGGCAUCCAAACAAGUGGGGUAAAUCUUUUGGUUCGUGAUUUAUGUUCAGUUUUCUUAUCAAUGGUGUUUUUUCCCAUCAACAAUUGAUAAAACCCUCAAAUAUUCUCAAGUACGAGAAACGGGAAGAAAAG